This 431-nucleotide ribosomal RNA is filed under the name uncultured Bradyrhizobiaceae bacterium. RNAcentral's name for it is "bacterial SSU rRNA". It matches the Rfam family "Bacterial small subunit ribosomal RNA", at positions 29 to 505 of the family's 1533-position model. The record is from RNAcentral. Lineage: Bacteria; Pseudomonadati; Pseudomonadota; Alphaproteobacteria; Hyphomicrobiales; Nitrobacteraceae.
AACGAACGCUGGCGGCAGGCUUAACACAUGCAAGUCGAACGCAUCCUUCGGGGUGAGUGGCAGACGGGUGAGUAACGCGUGGGAACGUGCCCUUCAGUUCGGGAUAACCCAGGGAAACUUGGGCUAAUACCGGAUACGUGCGAGAGCAGAAAGAUUUAUCGCUGAAGGAUCGGCCCGCGUCUGAUUAGCUAGUUGGUGGGGUAAUGGCCCACCAAGGCGACGAUCAGUAGCUGGUCUGAGAGGAUGAUCAGCCACAUUGGGACUGAGACACGGCCCAAACUCCUACGGGAGGCAGCAGUGGGGAAUAUUGGACAAUGGGCGCAAGCCUGAUCCAGCCAUGCCGCGUGAGUGAUGAAGGCCUUAGGGUUGUAAAGCUCUUUCGUCCGGGACGAUAAUGACGGUACCGGAAGAAGAAGCCCCGGCUAACUUCG